Molecule: unclassified non-coding RNA, 328 nt
Filed under: soil metagenome
Description: partial contains 5.8S ribosomal RNA, internal transcribed spacer 2, and large subunit ribosomal RNA
Rfam family: 5.8S ribosomal RNA (bases 1-120)
Source: RNAcentral
GAUGAAUAACGUAGCGAAAUGCGAUAAGUAAUGUGAAUUGCAGAAUUCAGUGAAUCAUCGAAUCUUUGAACGCACAUUGCGCCCCCUGGUAUUCCGGGGGGCAUGCCUGUUCGAGCGUCAUUUCAACCCUCAAGCUCUGCUUGGUAUUGAGUCCAUGUCAGCAAUGGCAGGCUCCAAAAUCAGUGGCGGCGCCGCUGGGUCCUGAACGUAGUAAUAUCUCUCGUUACAGGUGCUCGGCGUGCUUCUGCCAAAACCCCAAUUUUUCUAUGGUUGACCUCGGAUCAGGUAGGGAUACCCGCUGAACUUAAGCAUAUCAAUAAGCGGAGGA